GUGGAGGAAGAGAGUGCAUGUGAAGAGAGGUUUGCCUUUGCAGGACUCCACCCUUCCACAAGUGGGUAGCACAGAGGAGGAUAUGGUUCCUGGGCUCCUGCUAUCUAAGCUUCAGGUAAAUUGGGAUUUUCAGUUUGUUUCCUGAAGUACCAUCUUAUUUCAGAGAGUUUUUA
RNAcentral lists this long non-coding RNA (173 nucleotides) under Phascolarctos cinereus (koala). RNAcentral's name for it is "lncRNA (ENSPCIG00000017893.2)". The record is from RNAcentral. Lineage: Eukaryota; Metazoa; Chordata; Mammalia; Diprotodontia; Phascolarctidae.